AGAGUUUGAUCCUGGCUCAGAUUGAACGCUGGCGGCAUGCCUAACACAUGCAAGUCGAACGGUAACGAUGGUAGCUUGCUACCAGGCGACGAGUGGCGGACGGGUGAGUAAUGCAUAGGAAUCUACCCAUGUAGUGGGGGACAACCUGGUGAAAACCAGGCUAAUACCGCAUGAGCCCUUCGGGGGAAAGCAGGGGAUCUUCGGACCUUGCGCUAUUGGAUGAGCCUAUGUCUGAUUAGCUUGUUGGUGGGGUAACGGCCUACCAAGGCAACGAUCAGUAGCUGGUCUGAGAGGACGAUCAGCCACACUGGGACUGAGACACGGCCCAGACUCCUACGGGAGGCAGCAGUGGGGAAUAUUGGACAAUGGGGGCAACCCUGAUCCAGCAAUGCCGCGUGUGUGAAGAAGGCCUGCGGGUUGUAAGGCACUUUCAGUGCGGGAGGAAAAGCUCAAGGUUAAUAACCUUGAGUCUUGACGUUAUCCACAGAAGAAGCACCGGCUAACUCCGUCGCCAGCAGCCGCGGUAAUACAGAGGGUGCAAGCGUUAAUCGGAAUUACUGGGCGUAAAGCGCGCGUAGGCGGUUUGUUAAGUCGGAUGUGAAAGCCCCGGGCUCAACCUGGGAACUGCAUUCGAUACUGGCAGGCUAGAGUAUGGUAGAGGGAAGUGGAAUUCCGGGUGUAGCGGUGAAAUGCGUAGAUAUCCGGAGGAACAUCAGUGGCGAAGGCGGCUUCCUGGACCAAUACUGACGCUGAGGUGCGAAAGCGUGGGGAGCAAACCAGGAUUAGAUAACCCUGGUAGUCCACGCCGUGAACGAUGGAUGCUAGCCGUUGGAUAGUAUACUAUUCAGUGGCGCAGCUAACGCAUUAAGCAUCCCGCCUGGGGAGUACGGUCGCAAGAUUAUAGACUCAAAGGAAUUGACGUGGGGCCCGCACAAGCGGUGGAGCAUGUGGCUUUACCCAGGGCCCUGGACAUCCCGGUCGCGGUUUCCAGAGAUGGAUUCCUUCAGUUUAGCGCUGGACCGGUGACAGGUGCUGCAUGGCCGUCGUCAGCUCGUGUCGUGAGAUGUUGGGUUAAGUCCCGCAACGAGCGCAACCCUCGCCUUUAGUUGCCAGCAUUUAGUUGGGCACUCUAGAGGAACUGCCGGUGAUAAGCCGGAGGAAGGUGGGGAUGACGUCAAGUCCUCAUGGCCCUUAUGGGCUGGGCUACACACGUGCUACAAUGGCGGUGACAGAGGGCAGCGAGAUCGCAAGGUCAAGCUAAUCCCUAAAAACCGUCUCAGUUCGGAUUGUUCUCUGCAACUCGAGAGCAUGAAGGUGGAAUCGCUAGUAAUCGCAGAUCAGCAUGCUCGCGGUGAAUACGUUCCCGGGCCUUGUACACACCGCCCGUCACAUCAUGGGAGUUGGUUCUGCCCGAAGGUGGUGCGCUAACCAGUUUACUGGAAGCAGCCAACCACGGUAGGAUCAGCGACUGGGAUGAAGUCGUAACAAGGUAGCC
This 1495-nucleotide ribosomal RNA is filed under the name uncultured Gammaproteobacteria bacterium. RNAcentral's name for it is "partial 16S ribosomal RNA". It matches the Rfam family "Bacterial small subunit ribosomal RNA". Lineage: Bacteria; Pseudomonadati; Pseudomonadota; Gammaproteobacteria. The record is from RNAcentral.